AACGAACGCUGGCGGCAUGCCUAACACAUGCAAGUCGAACGAGACCUUCGGGUCUAGUGGCGCACGGGUGCGUAACGCGUGGGAACCUGCCCUUAGGUUCGGAAUAACUCCCCGAAAGGGGUGCUAAUACCGGAUAAUGUCUUCGGCCCAAAGAUUUAUCGCCUUUGGAUGGGCCCGCGUUGGAUUAGCUAGUUGGUAGGGUAAAAGCCUACCAAGGCGACGAUCCAUAGCUGGUUUGAGAGGAUGAUCAGCCACACUGGGACUGGGACACGGCCCAGACUCCUACGGGAGGCAGCAGUGGGGAAUAGUGGACAAUGGGCGAAAGCCUGAUGCAGCAAUGACGCGUGAGUGAUGAAGGCCGUAGGGUUGUAAAGCUCAUUUAACCGGGAUGAUAAUGACAGUACCGGGAGAAUAAGCCCCGGCUAACUCCGUG
Molecule: ribosomal RNA, 433 nt
Filed under: uncultured bacterium
Lineage: Bacteria
Description: partial 16S ribosomal RNA
Rfam family: Bacterial small subunit ribosomal RNA
Source: RNAcentral